GAUGAAGAACGUAGCGAAAUGCGAUAAGUAAUGUGAAUUGCAGAAUUCAGUGAAUCAUCGAAUCUUUGAACGCACAUUGCGCCCGCCAGUAUUCUGGCGGGCAUGCCUGUUCGAGCGUCAUUUCAACCAUCAAGCCCCCGGGCCUGUGUUGGGGACCUGCGGCUGCCGCAGGCCCCGAAAACCAGUGGCGGGCUCGCUGUCACCCCGAGCGUAGUAGUUUACACCUCGCCCAGGGCGCGACGCGGGUUUCCCGGCCGUUAAACACCCCACAUCUAAAGGUUGACCUCGGAUCAGGUAGGAAGACCCGCUGAACUUAAGCAUAUCAAUAAGCGGAGGA
RNAcentral lists this unclassified non-coding RNA (337 nucleotides) under soil metagenome. Its description in RNAcentral is "partial contains 5.8S ribosomal RNA, internal transcribed spacer 2, and large subunit ribosomal RNA". The stretch from base 1 to 120 matches the Rfam family "5.8S ribosomal RNA", at positions 35 to 154 of the family's 154-position model. The record is from RNAcentral.